RNAcentral lists this transfer RNA (81 nucleotides) under Deltaproteobacteria bacterium. RNAcentral describes it as "tRNA-Leu". It matches the Rfam family "tRNA". From Rfam's summary of the family: Transfer RNA (tRNA) molecules are approximately 80 nucleotides in length. Their secondary structure includes four short double-helical elements and three loops (D, anti-codon, and T loops). The record is from RNAcentral. Lineage: Bacteria; Pseudomonadati; Myxococcota; Myxococcia.
GCCGAAGUGGCGAAAUGGUAGCCGCGCUGGACUCAAAAUCCAGUGACUUAUGUCAUGUUGGUUCAAGUCCGACCUUCGGCA